RNAcentral lists this ribosomal RNA (2816 nucleotides) under Klebsiella pneumoniae. Its description in RNAcentral is "partial 23S ribosomal RNA". It matches the Rfam family "Bacterial large subunit ribosomal RNA". The record is from RNAcentral. Lineage: Bacteria; Pseudomonadati; Pseudomonadota; Gammaproteobacteria; Enterobacterales; Enterobacteriaceae.
GGUUAAGCGACUAAGCGUACACGGUGGAUGCCCUGGCAGUCAGAGGCGAUGAAGGACGUGCUAAUCUGCGAAAAGCGUCGGUAAGGUGAUAUGAACCGUUAUAACCGGCGAUGUCCGAAUGGGGAAACCCAGUGCAAUUCGUUGCACUAUCGUUAACUGAAUACAUAGGUUAACGAGGCGAACCGGGGGAACUGAAACAUCUAAGUACCCCGAGGAAAAGAAAUCAACCGAGAUUCCCCCAGUAGCGGCGAGCGAACGGGGAGCAGCCCAGAGUCUGAAUCAGCUUGUGUGUUAGUGGAACGGUCUGGAAAGUCCGACGGUACAGGGUGAUAGUCCCGUACACCAAAAUGCACAGGUUGUGAACUCGAAGAGUAGGGCGGGACACGUGGUAUCCUGUCUGAAUAUGGGGGGACCAUCCUCCAAGGCUAAAUACUCCUGACUGACCGAUAGUGAACCAGUACCGUGAGGGAAAGGCGAAAAGAACCCCGGCGAGGGGAGUGAAAAAGAACCUGAAACCGUGUACGUACAAGCAGUGGGAGCACCUUCGGGUGUGACUGCGUACCUUUUGUAUAAUGGGUCAGCGACUUAUAUUCUGUAGCAAGGUUAACCGUAUAGGGGAGCCGCAGGGAAACCGAGUCUUAACUGGGCGUUAAGUUGCAGGGUAUAGACCCGAAACCCGGUGAUCUAGCCAUGGGCAGGUUGAAGGUUGGGUAACACUAACUGGAGGACCGAACCGACUAAUGUUGAAAAAUUAGCGGAUGACUUGUGGCUGGGGGUGAAAGGCCAAUCAAACCGGGAGAUAGCUGGUUCUCCCCGAAAGCUAUUUAGGUAGCGCCUCGUGAAUUCAUCUUCGGGGGUAGAGCACUGUUUCGGCUAGGGGGUCAUCCCGACUUACCAACCCGAUGCAAACUACGAAUACCGAAGAAUGUUAUCACGGGAGACACACGGCGGGUGCUAACGUCCGUCGUGAAGAGGGAAACAACCCAGACCGCCAGCUAAGGUCCCAAAGUCAUGGUUAAGUGGGAAACGAUGUGGGAAGGCACAGACAGCCAGGAUGUUGGCUUAGAAGCAGCCAUCAUUUAAAGAAAGCGUAAUAGCUCACUGGUCGAGUCGGCCUGCGCGGAAGAUGUAACGGGGCUAAACCAUGCACCGAAGCUGCGGCAGCGACACUAUGUGUUGUUGGGUAGGGGAGCGUUCUGUAAGCCUGCGAAGGUGUGCUGUGAGGCAUGCUGGAGGUAUCAGAAGUGCGAAUGCUGACAUAAGUAACGAUAAAGCGGGUGAAAAGCCCGCUCGCCGGAAGACCAAGGGUUCCUGUCCAACGUUAAUCGGGGCAGGGUGAGUCGACCCCUAAGGCGAGGCCGAAAGGCGUAGUCGAUGGGAAACAGGUUAAUAUUCCUGUACUUGGUGUUACUGCGAAGGGGGGACGGAGAAGGCUAUGUUAGCCGGGCGACGGUUGUCCCGGUUUAAGCAUGUAGGCUGGUUGUCCAGGCAAAUCCGGAUAAUCAAGGCUGAGGUGUGAUGACGAGGCACUACGGUGCUGAAGUAACAAAUGCCCUGCUUCCAGGAAAAGCCUCUAAGCAUCAGGUAACAUCAAAUCGUACCCCAAACCGACACAGGUGGUCAGGUAGAGAAUACCAAGGCGCUUGAGAGAACUCGGGUGAAGGAACUAGGCAAAAUGGUGCCGUAACUUCGGGAGAAGGCACGCUGGUGUGUAGGUGAAGUCCCUGCGGAUGGAGCUGAGACCAGUCGAAGAUACCAGCUGGCUGCAACUGUUUAUUAAAAACACAGCACUGUGCAAACACGAAAGUGGACGUAUACGGUGUGACGCCUGCCCGGUGCCGGAAGGUUAAUUGAUGGGGUUAUCCGUAAGGAGAAGCUCUUGAUCGAAGCCCCGGUAAACGGCGGCCGUAACUAUAACGGUCCUAAGGUAGCGAAAUUCCUUGUCGGGUAAGUUCCGACCUGCACGAAUGGCGUAAUGAUGGCCAGGCUGUCUCCACCCGAGACUCAGUGAAAUUGAACUCGCUGUGAAGAUGCAGUGUACCCGCGGCAAGACGGAAAGACCCCGUGAACCUUUACUAUAGCUUGACACUGAACAUUGAGCCUUGAUGUGUAGGAUAGGUGGGAGGCUUUGAAGCGUGGACGCCAGUCUGCGUGGAGCCAACCUUGAAAUACCACCCUUUAAUGUUUGAUGUUCUAACGUUGGCCCCUUACCGGGGUUGCGGACAGUGUCUGGUGGGUAGUUUGACUGGGGCGGUCUCCUCCCAAAGCGUAACGGAGGAGCACGAAGGUUAGCUAAUCCUGGUCGGACAUCAGGAGGUUAGUGCAAUGGCAUAAGCUAGCUUGACUGCGAGCGUGACGGCGCGAGCAGGUGCGAAAGCAGGUCAUAGUGAUCCGGUGGUUCUGAAUGGAAGGGCCAUCGCUCAACGGAUAAAAGGUACUCCGGGGAUAACAGGCUGAUACCGCCCAAGAGUUCAUAUCGACGGCGGUGUUUGGCACCUCGAUGUCGGCUCAUCACAUCCUGGGGCUGAAGUAGGUCCCAAGGGUAUGGCUGUUCGCCAUUUAAAGUGGUACGCGAGCUGGGUUUAGAACGUCGUGAGACAGUUCGGUCCCUAUCUGCCGUGGGCGCUGGAGAAUUGAGGGGGGCUGCUCCUAGUACGAGAGGACCGGAGUGGACGCAUCACUGGUGUUCGGGUUGUCAUGCCAAUGGCACUGCCCGGUAGCUAAAUGCGGAAGAGAUAAGUGCUGAAAGCAUCUAAGCACGAAACUUGCCCCGAGAUGAGUUCUCCCUGAGACUUUAAGUCUCCUGAAGGAACGUU